Molecule: ribosomal RNA, 251 nt
Filed under: uncultured bacterium
Lineage: Bacteria
Description: partial 16S ribosomal RNA
Rfam family: Bacterial small subunit ribosomal RNA
Source: RNAcentral
GAUCCUGGCUCAGGAUGAACGCUGGCGGCGUGCUUAACACAUGCAAGUCGAACGAAGAGUUAUUAAAUGAGAGCUUCGGCAGGAAUUUAAUAAAUCUUAGUGGCGGACGGGUGAGUAACGUGUGGGCAACCUGCCUUAUACUGGGGAAUAAUCACUGGAAACGGUGACUAAUACCGCAUAAUGUCUUUUUACGGCAUCGUAAGAAGAAGAAAGGAGCAAUCCGGUAAAAGAUGGGGCCCGCAUCUGAUUAG